UCCAAGCUGCCAUCGACUUGCUUACAAAAUAUCCGUGCACUUCAGAACAGCACUUACAAACAUACUGGGGUCAAACAAAUGAAACAGAAGGACAGUCCAACGAUAUUGAGGAGGGGAUAACAAUACUGCAUGCCAGUUACACCAAGAGCCUUUUGGGUAUGUUGUUCAUGCAAACCCAAAGGCAGAACAGAGCUAUUUCAGUCGACACAUUCUUGCAUGUGCAGGAAACGUUUCAGGCCGAAGAACAUGUCUAGGCCACAGAAAAGAUGCCUGAUGCCUUCAGCUACAAUGAUGCAACAAAGCAAGAUAAUGAGUUAAUCGAGACAUAGUUUAAUGAUUUAAUCAUCUCUGUCGCUUAUUUUACAUCCAAUCUGAUGAAACAAAUUGACAUGUAGAAACUCCACACACCCACAUUUAUCUAUCUUUGAUAAAUACACGUUUCCUUUUCUCUCUAGUUGCAUCCCCUUGAACUGUCCUUCUCUCCUGUCAAUGACACUGGAUCAUGAACAUGUUUAAUCUGCUGGGGUUUGGGUGCCUUGAUUACACUGCUACAAAUUAAACCCUUUGCAAAAUAAUGGAAUUUAGAGUAUCAGAACAUUUCAUUCUCCACAUCCUGGAUCUCAGCAAUGUUGGCAAGUGGAUAAGUUUUUUUUUGUAAAUCAUAACCCUAUUAGUUACCUCUUUACAUAGCUUAGUGAGCUUUGCCAUUAAGUUGCUCAGGCCCAGAAAAUGUUAGCGGUUUGAUCCCUAUUCUGGGUUAGAUUAUUUCAGUCAGAAGGGCCUCAGUGGAUCUGUGACCAGCAUACCUCAUAUUAAUCUCUAUCCAGUAACCUCUGAUCAAAGUACACAUGCAUACAUAUUGAACAAAGACAAACCCAAUUUGAUUCUGAUGUCCUCACACUCUAACAGCCUGCGUAAGAUUUAUACAUGAGCCAUAAUCAUUUGGGCGUAGCACCAGUGAAACCAAAUCCUACCAUUUCCUUUAGGAAAGGAAAAACUGAAAAACAAAACAAAAUCUUAAUUUUUAAAAGUAUUUAUAUUUACCCACAUGACUGAAACUUCUUGCUUGCUAUCAUGAUUAAAGCAAAAGAGAAAACAUGGCCAAAAUAGGGCCACAUGCUUGCACAGAUAUUGUUAUGUGCACACCAUUGUAAUAUAUUUACACAUUAAAAGAUUUAAC
Molecule: non-coding RNA, 1180 nt
Organism: Chiloscyllium plagiosum (whitespotted bambooshark)
Lineage: Eukaryota; Metazoa; Chordata; Chondrichthyes; Orectolobiformes; Hemiscylliidae
Source: RefSeq, a predicted model, not a curated record